Molecule: transfer RNA, 72 nt
Filed under: Stegodyphus mimosarum
Lineage: Eukaryota; Metazoa; Arthropoda; Arachnida; Araneae; Eresidae
Rfam family: tRNA
About the family: Transfer RNA (tRNA) molecules are approximately 80 nucleotides in length. Their secondary structure includes four short double-helical elements and three loops (D, anti-codon, and T loops).
Source: Rfam by way of RNAcentral
GCAUUCGUGGUAUAAGGAUCAGCACACUCGCCCCGUAGUCGAGAUGUCCAGGUUCGAGUCCCGGCGAGGGCA